Small nuclear RNA from Eublepharis macularius, 123 nucleotides. RefSeq annotates it as U4atac minor spliceosomal RNA. Lineage: Eukaryota; Metazoa; Chordata; Lepidosauria; Squamata; Eublepharidae. The record is from RefSeq and is a predicted model, not a curated record. The transcript has a single exon.
AGAAACCUUAUCUUGGGGUUGCGCUACUGUUCAAUGAACGAAUAGUGAGAACAGUACUGCAAGGGGAGGUGGAUUAGAUGUUCCCCUUUUCCAUUUUCUUAAUCUGAAAUAGUUUCUGGGAGU